This 429-nucleotide ribosomal RNA is filed under the name bacterium. RNAcentral's name for it is "partial 16S ribosomal RNA". It matches the Rfam family "Bacterial small subunit ribosomal RNA", at positions 355 to 776 of the family's 1533-position model. The record is from RNAcentral.
UAGGGAAUCUACCACAAUGGACGCAAGUCUGAUGGAGCAACGCCGCGUGAGUGAAGAAGGUUUUCGGAUCGUAAAGCUCUGUUGUUGGUGAAGAAGGAUAGAGGCAGUAACUGGUCUUUAUUUGACGGUAAUCAACCAGAAAGUCACGGCUAACUACGUGCCAGCAGCCGCGGUAAUACGUAGGUGGCAAGCGUUGUCCGGAUUUAUUGGGCGUAAAGCGAGCGCAGGCGGAAUGAUAAGUCUGAUGUGAAAGCCCACGGCUCAACCGUGGAACUGCAUCGGAAACUGUCAUUCUUGAGUGCAGAAGAGGAGAGUGGAAUUCCAUGUGUAGCGGUGGAAUGCGUAGAUAUAUGGAAGAACACCAGUGGCGAAGGCGGCUCUCUGGUCUGCAACUGACGCUGAGGCUCGAAAGCAUGGGUAGCGAACAGG